This 252-nucleotide ribosomal RNA is filed under the name uncultured bacterium. Its description in RNAcentral is "partial 16S ribosomal RNA". It matches the Rfam family "Bacterial small subunit ribosomal RNA", at positions 524 to 776 of the family's 1533-position model. The record is from RNAcentral.
UACAGAGGUCUCAAGCGUUGUUCGGAAUCACUGGGCGUAAAGGGUGCGUAGGUGGCGUGGCAAGUCAGAUGUGAAAGCCCGGGCUCAACCUCGGAAUUGCAUCCGAUACUGCCAUGCUGGAGUACUGAAGAGGUGACUAGAAUUCUCGGUGUAGCAGUGAAAUGCGUAGAUAUCGAGAGGAAUACCAAAGGCGAAGGCAGGUCACUGGGCAGUUACUGACACUGAGGCACGAAGGCCAGGGGAGCAAACGGG